Molecule: ribosomal RNA, 389 nt
Filed under: uncultured bacterium
Lineage: Bacteria
Description: bacterial SSU rRNA
Rfam family: Bacterial small subunit ribosomal RNA
Source: RNAcentral
CCAGGGGUGAGUAAUGUAUAUGUAACAUGCCUUCUACUAGGGGAUAACACUGGGAAACGACUGCUAAUACCCUAUAUUCCUUAUUACCACAAGUGUGAAAGGGAAAGAUUUUUUGGUUUAAGAUUGGACUAUAUUGUAUCAGCUAGUUGGUGAUGUAAUGGACUACCAAGGCUAUGACGCAUAACUGGUUUGAGAGGAUGAUCCGUCACACUGGAACUGAGACACGGACCAGACUCCUACGGGAGGCAGCAGUGGGGAAUAUUGCACAAUGGGCGAAACCCUGAUGCAGCAACGCCGCGUGGAGGAUGACACAUUUCGGUGCGUAAACUCCUUUUAUAUGGGAAGAUAAUGACGGUACCAUAUGAAUAAGCACCGGCUAACUCCGUGCC